CCUACGGGUGGCAGCAGUCGAGAAUCAUUCACAAUGGGGGAAACCCCGAUGGUGCGACGCCGCGUGGGGGAAUGAAGGUCUUCGGAUUGUAAACCCCUGUCAUGUGGGAGCAAAUUAAAAAGAUAGUACCACAAGAGGAAGAGACGGCUAACUCUGUGCCAGCAGCCGCGGUAAUACAGAGGUCUCAAGCGUUGUUCGGAAUCACUGGGCGUAAAGCGUGCGUAGGCUGUUUCGUAAGUCGUGUGUGAAAGGGGCGGGCUCAACCCGCGGACGGCACAUGAUACUGCGAGACUAGAGUAAUGGAGGGGGAACCGGAAUUCUCGGUGUAGCAGUGAAAUGCGUAGAUAUCGAGAGGAACACUCGUGGCGAAGGCGGGUUCCUGGACAUUAACUGACGCUGAGGCACGAAGGCCAGGGGAGCGAAAGGGAUUAGAUACCCUAGUAGUC
Molecule: ribosomal RNA, 446 nt
Filed under: uncultured bacterium
Lineage: Bacteria
Description: partial 16S ribosomal RNA
Rfam family: Bacterial small subunit ribosomal RNA
Source: RNAcentral